GCCAGCGUGGCAUAGUGGUUUGUGCACUGGACUACAUCUCUGGAGACUAGGGUUCAAUUCCCUACUCAGCCA
Molecule: transfer RNA, 72 nt
Filed under: Phrynosoma platyrhinos (Desert horned lizard)
Lineage: Eukaryota; Metazoa; Chordata; Lepidosauria; Squamata; Phrynosomatidae
Description: tRNA-OTHER
Rfam family: tRNA
About the family: Transfer RNA (tRNA) molecules are approximately 80 nucleotides in length.
Source: RNAcentral